Molecule: ribosomal RNA, 422 nt
Filed under: uncultured bacterium
Lineage: Bacteria
Description: bacterial SSU rRNA
Rfam family: Bacterial small subunit ribosomal RNA
Source: RNAcentral
UGAGGAAUAUUGGUCAAUGGGGGCAACCCUGAACCAGCCAAGUCGCGUGAAGGAUGAAGGUCUUAUGGAUUGUAAACUUCUUUUAUACAGGAAUAAAUUGGGGGACGUGUCCCCUUUUGCAUGUACUGUAUGAAUAAGGAUCGGCUAACUCCGUGCCAGCAGCCGCGGUAAUACGGAGGAUCCGAGCGUUAUCCGGAUUUAUUGGGUUUAAAGGGUGCGCAGGCGGGAUGUUAAGUCGGCGGUGAAAUUUUGCAGCUCAACUGUAAAAGUGCCUUCGAUACUGGCUGCCUUGAGUGUGGUUGAAGUAGGCGGAAUUUGUGGUGUAGCGGUGAAAUGCUUAGAUAUCACGAGGAACUCCGAUUGCGCAGGCAGCUUACUAAGCCACAACUGACGCUCAUGCACGAAGGCGUGGGGAUCAAACA